UCCUAAUAAAAAGUAUAAGCACGGUGCUGGAGAUAUUUUCCAUUGGUUACCAUUAAAACGUAUAUAGUUGACAUAUUAUUGUAUAAUAUUAUGCGUACGUGCAUAUACAUAGCCACCGACAGCAUUCACAUACAAGCAUGUUUUCUCGAGCCAUGUUGGUACAUGAACAUGGACAUACACAUAUUCUUAGGAACAAAUAAGAAAGAUAAAUGGAGAAGGAAAACCCAAAGCAAUGUCAGAGUUGACAAAACUGCAAUGGCACUUUAUAUGUGGCCCAUCGUCAGUGAGCUGUUUAUGCCUUGCCGGACUCCUCGCAGCCUGGUGGCUUGAAGGCGAUGAAGCUGACGCACUGCACCUGACGCAUGUUGUCGAAUCCGAUGAUGCGGACAUACGCGUCAGGGUACUCCUUCUUGACCUCCUCCACCUCGUUGAGCACCUGUGUGGCGUCGGUGCAUCCGAACAUAGGCAGCUUCCACAUUGUCCAGUACCGGCCAUCGUAGUACCCAGGAGAUGCGUUGUGCUCACGGAAGAUGAACCCAACCUUGCUGAACUCGAGGCAAGGCACCCACUUGGAGCGGAUCAGGUAGUCGACCUGCUUAAGGAGGGCCUCCGUGCUGAGUGGUGGCAAGUAAGACAGGGUCUCGAACUUCUUGAUGCCCUCGAUGGGCCACACCUGCAAAUCAGAUUCACGUCUAUACAUUAAGAGACUAUAACUCUAGUUCUACACGUUUGAUUGUUCUUCUUGACAUCCGUCGGCUUAAAAAUGACUAGAAAGACAGAGACGAUGUUGUUUACCUGCAUGCACCUGAUCCUUCCACCGUUGCUGACGCUGCCGAGGCUAGCACCGUUCGAGCGGCGGCUGACGGGGAGGCCGGCGGGGGACUUGAGCCCCUGGAAAGGAGCGACGGAGGUGGCCGACGAGGCCAUCACGGUGGGGGCCAUAGCUGUACUAUGUAGGUAUAUAGCUUGCUAGAGGGAGGCACACUGGCUUGAGGACUGGUUCGUUGGGUCAGCAAGGCUUAUAUAACCCUUGGGCCCUUCCUGAACAAGAUGUGGAAGGAGUGGCUGCCGUUCGGCAGCGGCGAUAAGCCCCCGCGGAUCACCGCGUCCUGAUAAGGUCGGGAUAAACAACCACAUGUCUGCGCGCCUUAUCCUCUGCACCAUAGAAUCAACGGCCGUGUGCCCUGCUAGCUGCUGGCCCUACUCAUUGCUUGCUACUUGCA
This 1223-nucleotide long non-coding RNA is filed under the name Hordeum vulgare. RNAcentral's name for it is "long non-coding RNA (HVUL_LNC012240)". The record is from RNAcentral. Lineage: Eukaryota; Viridiplantae; Streptophyta; Magnoliopsida; Poales; Poaceae.